Molecule: ribosomal RNA, 307 nt
Filed under: uncultured Pseudomonas sp.
Lineage: Bacteria; Pseudomonadati; Pseudomonadota; Gammaproteobacteria; Pseudomonadales; Pseudomonadaceae
Description: bacterial SSU rRNA
Rfam family: Bacterial small subunit ribosomal RNA
Source: RNAcentral
UUAAGUCCCGUAACGAGCGCAACCCUUGUCCUUAGUUACCAGGCACGUUAUGGUGGGCACUGUAAGGAGACUGCCGGUGGACAAACCGGAGGAAGGUAGGGGAUGACGUCAAGUCCAUCAUGGCCCUUACGGCCAGGGCUACACACGUGCUACAAUGGUCGGUACAAAGGGUUGCCAAGCCGCGAGGUGGAGCUAAUCCCAUAAAACCGAUCGUAGUCCGGAUCGCAGUCUGCAACUCGACUGCGUGAAGUCGGAAUCGCUAGUAAUCGUGAAUCAGAAUGUCACGGUGAAUACGUUCCCGGGCCUU